Molecule: ribosomal RNA, 423 nt
Filed under: uncultured soil bacterium
Lineage: Bacteria
Description: bacterial SSU rRNA
Rfam family: Bacterial small subunit ribosomal RNA
Source: RNAcentral
AGGACGAACGCUGGCGGUGUGCUUAACACAUGCAAGUGGAGCGACGAACCAGGGCUUGCCCUGGGGCAGAGCCGCGAACGGGUGAGUAACACGUGGGUAACCUACCCCGAUGACCGGGACAACCCGAGGAAACUCGGGCUAAUACCGGAUGUGUCCCAUCUUCACGAGAGGAUGGAGCAAAGGAAGCUUCGGCCUCCGCAUUGGGAGGGGCCCGCGGCCCAUUAGCUAGUUGGUGGGGUAAUGGCCUACCAAGGCAGCGAUGGGUAGCUGGUCUGAGAGGACGAUCAGCCACACUGGGACUGAGACACGGCCCAGACUCCUACGGGAGGCAGCAGUGGGGAAUCUUGCGCAAUGCGCGAAAAGCGUGACGCAGCAACACCGCGUGAGGGAAGACGGCCUGGUGUAACCGUACUUCUAGGAGGA